RNA transcript from Salvelinus fontinalis (brook trout), 4713 nucleotides. It is a transcript of the gene named phosphatase and actin regulator 1-like, with no coding region annotated. The transcript is spliced from 13 exons. The record is from RefSeq and is a predicted model, not a curated record. Lineage: Eukaryota; Metazoa; Chordata; Actinopteri; Salmoniformes; Salmonidae.
AGUCUUAUGGCUCGGGGGUAGAAGCUGUUUAGAAGCAUCUUGGACCUAAACUUGGCGCUCUGGUACCGCUUGCCGUGCGAUAGCAGAGAGAACAUUCUAUGGCUAGGGUGGCUGGAGUCUUUCACAAUUUAGUCUCAUUAGCUUGGCAGUAUAGUAUUUGUUGCUCCCUAGUGGGCUAAUAAAGCAAUUUGGCAUGUGUGUGUGUUAAAAUCUGCCAUUUGGCAGUUCAGGCUGCUAUGCCGGUAUAGUGAAUAUGGGUCUGUGCAUUGAGUGUUAGGCGUAUAGCAGGGGUAUUUGAUUUGAUUCAACUCUUACCCUACGAGGCCCGGAGCCUGCUGGUCUUCUGUUGUAAUUGAUCAUUAAUUGCAUCCACCUAAGCCAGUCCCUGAUUAGAGAUGAACAAUGGGAAAAUGCAGUGGAACUGGCUUGGAGGUCCAGAGUUGAGUUUGAGGGGCCUAUAGGCUAUAUGUUUAUGACCUUAUAGGUAUGCCUCCACUGUUGUUAAGAUUUCAUUUCAUAUCGGGGCUUUUGGUGGUUGUGGUGAUAUGAUAUUCAUAUUUAAUAUUGUGUAGGCUGGCUGUAGCUACAUAAUAACAAGGUCAAUUCUCAGUAGUGGGUGGAGAUUAUUUUGAGUCGUCAAUAUUUACCACAACAACAAAGUUAUAAACCCCGCCCAUUUAUCUUCUUAAAAUUAGAUUUUAAACCUAACCAUAAUCUUAACCUUAAACAUGAAUUAACACACUGCUAACCUUAUGCAUAACACUAACCUUAAAUUAAGACCAAAAAGCACAUUUUUGUUUUCAUUCAUUUUUACGAUAUAGACUUUGUGUUUGUGGUAACUACUGGAAAUCAGUAUUUAGGGAGACCGUAAACCCCGCCUAUGCAGUUGAGAGGCAGAUUCAAAUGUGAUGACGUACAAGGAUACAUAAACAGGGAUUGGACCCCUAAAUAAAUGGAGAAGAUCCUCCGAAUAACUGGACAUGAACAGAUCCAUAUAAUACAAAAACUGACGAAUUUACGUAGCUCUAACUCUGAAGUUGUUGGCCCCCGUGCACAAAGCCAGGGAUUGGCAGGAAGUUAUUUUAAGUCUGCGGAGGUCAUCAGCAUUGGAGUAGACAGUUGACUAGACCGUUUAAAGCCCCCCUGCCUGCAUAUCUGAGAGCGAAUCGGGAUCAGCGGAUCCACCCCACACAGCCAUAGCCCUGCUUUGCCUAACCAUAGCGGUUCCUGCAUACGCCGUUAUGAGCUCCUGGUACGCGUCUGGUUCUCGGAACGACGCUCCCUCCCCACUCCCAGCCGUUACCGAAGAGAAGCCGCCGAAGAGGAGAGCGUUUUACCUGCUUUGGAAGACGUCCAAGAAUCGCAGCCGUAGCGACAAGCAACAGCAGCAGCAACCCGCGGCAAACAACAACAAUAUACCAUUCAUGAUCCACUGCCAGAUCGGGAAGGAGAUCAAGCACAUAUGCAGCAACUGCCGCGGCAACUGCCAUGAAGUUGAGGAGGUGGAGCGACUGGCAGCGAUGCGAUCUGAUUCGCUUGUCCCUGGCACACACACCCCUCCCAUUCGCAGGCGGAGCAAGUUUGCCACCCUCGGUCGUCUGUUCAAACCGUGGAAAUGGAGGAAGAAGAAGAGCGAGAAGUUCAAGCAGACAUCUGCUGUCCUGGAGAGGAAGAUGUCGACCCGGCAGAGCAGAGAGGAGCUGAUCAAGAGAGGAGUGCUGAAGGACAUCUACGACAAAGACAGAACGGUAGUAACGAGUGGAGAGGAGGUCAAUAUGGAGAACGGGAGCUCUCCAGCGUUAGGAGGGUCUGAUCCAUCACAUUGUGAUGGAGCUGAGCUGAUGGAUGGAGCAGGGUCAGCCAUAGGUACAGUAGAGUUCCAGUUGUCUGGAGAGGGGACGUCUCCACAAGACCACACCCAGAAUCCCAGCCAGGCUCCACCCACUAAGGUCAUGGUGUACCCGGGCGACGGCGGCGGGGCAGAGUCAUCUCAUCACAUCAUAAAACAACCCAGACAACCCCCAGCGCUACCCCCCAAACCCUUCAACAGACUGCCCAACCACAUCACAGAGGGUAUGCCAGUGAAGCUGCCCUGUAUGUCCAUGAAGCUGUCUCCUCCUCUACCUCCUAAGAAGCUGAUGAUCUGUGUGCCUGUGGGAGCGGGGGUAAGCAUGGAGCCCUCGGCCCUCACCUUCCAGAAGUGCCCCCCUCCCUCUCACCAUGUGGGGUCCCUUGGGGGCCACUCCCUACACUACAGGACCCUUCCUGUGCCCCUACACCCCCCCAGCCGCAUCAUCGAGGAACUCAACAAGACCCUGGCCCUUACCAUGAAGCGAUACGAGAGCUCCCUGCACCAUGUGGUUCCCACGGUGAUGAUGGCAUGUGAUAACAACAAAGAGAACCUCUGCAACGAAGAAGACUACCAAGACAUACCUGGGUCGUACAGGGACGAGGAGGAUGAAGAUGACGAUGAAACACUGUUUUCAAGUACCCUGGCUCUGAAGGUAUUGAGGAAGGACUCCUUGGCCAUUAAGAUCAGUAACCGUCCGUCUGUGAGAGAGCUAGAGGAGAAGAACAUCCUGCCCAGACAGUCAGACCAGGAGAGACUGGAGUUCAGGCAGCAGAUAGGCACCAAGCUCACACGGAGGUUGAGUCAACGGCCAACUACAGAGGAGCUGGAACAGAGAAACAUACUCAAACCGCGCAAUGAACUGGAGGAGCUAGAUGAGAUGAGAGAGCUCAAGAAACGCCUGUCUAGAAAGUUGAGUCAGAGGCCUACAGUGGAGGAGCUGAGGGAAGCUAAGAUCCUGACCCGCUUCAGUGACUAUGUAGAGGUAGCCGACGCCCAGGACUACGACAGGAGGGCAGACAAACCGUGGACAAGACUCACAGCUGCAGAUAAGUUCUGUUUGUCCCUUGUAGGCUGCUAUACGUAAAGAACUCAAUGAAUUUAAAAGCACAGAGAUGGAAGUGCAUGAGGGUAGUCGGCAUCUAACCAGGUUUCAUCGACCAUAGUUCUUCUUAUGCCAUCUUUUUCAAGAACCUCAAGUGCUGGACCUCAAAACUGCUGCCUCUGUACCACACCCCUCCCCUUCCAGACCAAAAUGCAACCAGACCAGAACUGGACCAGAACCACACUAGAACCAGAGUAGAAUGUGAUCUGAACCUGACCGUAAACUUAAUCUGAACCUGGCGGGGUGUGUACAGAACUGGGCGACUGACACUUCUACAGGCUCCAGUGUUGACCCAAAAUGGCUACCAAUGAAUGUAAAGGGCAGACUGGACCAACUACAACAGUAUUUUGGUCCAGUGGUCACAGUGUGGGCGGGUUGCGGAGAGGGACUGUCAUACACAUGGAGACUGACAGAAGGCACUAGACUGACUGGCUUCUCUGUCAGCGGAGAUUAUAUGGACUAAAGUAUUGUUUUUUUUUUAAUAGCCUUAUUAUAAUUGUUAAUAAUGAAGAUGGUUAAUGUGGUUAAUUGCACUUUGGUUUUUGACAGUACUCUAUGGAGGAGUUAUGGAACUCUGCUCCUAUAUCUGUGCCAAUGGGACUUUGGGAUUGUGGGAGAUUGAGUUUGGCAGGGUAUCUAAAAAAAUAAAAAAUACAGAGACCAACAACUGAUUGGGAGAAAUUAUUCUCCUCCAAGGGCUCCUGUUUCCAAAACAGAGAGACCAAGCCCUUUCAAUCAGAUAGGACUGCAGAAUAGGAUUCUGUAAUAAGUGUGUUGCAGUACUACUUACAAUGCCGUAUACACCAUGUGCUACUCUGGAAGCUGUAGUAUGAGAAUAUGAUCAGAAUAUAUACCCAUUAAAUGUUGAAAUACAACACAUCCUGUCCAUGUUGAAACAGUAUAGAAAUAUGAACCUAGCAAUAAUUGAACUUUUCUUUCCUCCGGGGCUGCAUUCAAGAGAACAAUUACUGGGAACAUUUCAGAGAGCUGCCUGCUCAAUACCAAAUACACUUUGAAACGCUGUUAUGAGUUGUGAUCUUGAAUGCAACCCAGAUCACCAUUAUUAUUGUUGAGUUCUGCAACCCUCUGUAUAGUGUCACUAUACCUGUCAUUGUUUACAGGGAUGAAAACAGUCAAAUGUACUUUGAAUGACAUUUGAUAAAGUAUGUUGCCUAUACAAUGUUUCAGCAGAGUGCUCCAUAGACUGGCAAGUUAACGGUCAAUAGUUAUGAAGGGAAUGGAAUUUAGAUUUCUGAAAACAGGAAUUGUAUGGUUCCGCCUUGUUUAGCCUCAUAGUGGAGAACCGACAUUAGACAACUCUUUGGCUGUAAAUGAAAGUACACUACAACCUUUAGCUCAUACACAGAGACAUUUCAAAAUUGUUAUUUUAUACUAAACACAUGCAGGUGAUGGUCUUGAUCGUUUAGCCGGAGAACCCUUUGACUUGUGGUGUAUCUUGGUAUGCGUGUGUAUACAGGGACAUGUUCAUAAGGUACAAAACAUGGAAAAUGUUUUACAACGGAGUGCUUACUAAACACGACCCAGGACCGUCUCCCUGUGCCUCUCCAUACUAAGAAAAGAAAGAGGACAUUCUUUGGGAAUUACUGUAUAAGACGUGUACAUAAUACAAAAUAAACAAAUGUUUUUCUUUUUUGUACAGAGGGAAACUGCAUGUGAUGAUUGUUAACUUAUUGUUCGUCUUCUAUCAUGUAUGCAGUUUCUUAUCUAAAGGAAACUUAAUAAAAAACAUUCAAAACUG